CUCAAUGAAAUUUCAAUAGCCGCAAUAUAUUGUGCUAAGGUAGCAUAAUCAUUUGUCUUUUAAUUAAAGACUAGAACAAAAGAUUUAAUAUUUUUAUUUCUUUCUUAUAUAUUCAAAUUAAACUUAUCUUAAAUAUAAAAAGAUAUUUAUUAAAUAAAUAGACGACAAGACCCUAUUGAACUUAACUAAUGUUUAACUGGGGCAGUAAAUUAAAUAUAAUUUUAAUUUAAACAUUAAAAAAUUCUAAUAUAAUUAAUAUAAUCAAGUUACCAUAGGGAUAACAGCGUAAUAAUUUUCUAUAGAUCUUAUUCAAAAAACUAAUUGCGACCUCGAUGUUGAAUUAAUAUUCUAUUAAAUGCAAUAAUUUAAUAAGAAAGUCUGUUCGACUU
RNAcentral lists this ribosomal RNA (389 nucleotides) under Sinocoelotes muliensis. RNAcentral's name for it is "partial 16S ribosomal RNA". The record is from RNAcentral. Lineage: Eukaryota; Metazoa; Arthropoda; Arachnida; Araneae; Agelenidae.